CCGGACAAAAGCCACAGUAAUCUGCUCUCUGGUCUAAGGCUUUUUCUCAUAUUUCUGAAAGACUGAAGUGACCUACUUGGAAUCCUAAGACCUUCCUUAUCCACCCUCCAAUACCUGCCUGGGGUAGUAUUCACCUGGGUUACCUCCCCGGACAAAAGCCACAGUAAUCUGCUCUCUGGUCUAAGGCUUUUUCUCAUAUUUCUGAAAGACUGAAGUGACCUACUUGGAAUCCUAAGACCUUCCUUAUCCACCCUCCAAUACCUGCCUGGGGUAGUAUUCACCUGGGUUACCUCCCCGGACAAAAGCCACAGUAAUCUGCUCUCUGGUCUAAGGCUUUUUCUCAUAUUUCUGAAAGACUGAAGUGACCUACUUGGAAUCCUAAGACCUUCCUUAUCCACCCUCCAAU
This is a long non-coding RNA of Protopterus annectens (West African lungfish), 406 nucleotides long. RefSeq lists it as uncharacterized. The transcript is spliced from 4 exons. The record is from RefSeq and is a predicted model, not a curated record. NCBI's taxonomy places the organism in Eukaryota, Metazoa, Chordata, Ceratodontiformes, Protopteridae.